This 555-nucleotide ribosomal RNA is filed under the name Allobates granti group sp. ABGD cluster 18. RNAcentral's name for it is "partial large subunit ribosomal RNA". It matches the Rfam family "Bacterial large subunit ribosomal RNA", at positions 1808 to 2575 of the family's 2925-position model. The record is from RNAcentral. Lineage: Eukaryota; Metazoa; Chordata; Amphibia; Anura; Aromobatidae.
CAAAAACAUCGCCUUUUGUCUAACUAUAAGAGGUCAAGCCUGCCCAGUGACAUUGUUCAACGGCCGCGGUAUUCUAACCGUGCGAAGGUAGCGUAAUCACUUGUCUUUUAAAUGAGGACUAGUAUGAAUGGCUUCACGAAGGCUAUACUGUCUCCUUUAUUUAAUCAGUUAAACUAAUCUUCCCGUGAAGAAGCGGGAAUAAACCUAUAAGACGAGAAGACCCUAUGGAGCUUUAAACACUUCUAAACAUUUGACACCUGACAUUUCAACUUUCAGAAAACUUCAUUAAACCCAUCAAUUUGUUUUAAGUUUUAGGUUGGGGUGACCACGGAGAACAACCAAACCUCCACGUAGAAAGAACCUCUCUCUAAGCAAAAAGCUACAGCUUUACGCAUCAAUAAUACUGACCUUAAUUGACCCAUUCUUUGAUCAACGAACCAAGUUACCCUAGGGAUAACAGCGCAAUCCGCUUUAAGAGCUCUUAUCGACAAGCGGGCUUACGACCUCGAUGUUGGAUCAGGGAAUCCCAGUGGUGCAGCAGCUACUAAUGGUUCG